UCAGGAUUAACACAUCAGGAUAUCAGGAGAGUGAAUGGUGCCACCUGUUGCAAGGACGUUUACAAGAUAUCCUGUGACUAGUGGCUCAGGAACUUUUCAGAGCUCAUCAGUGCUUCUUUUAAAAAAGCAAGAAAACUUUGGGACCGCUCAUUAUAGAUGCCAGACUCUGACAGGAGAAUUGUUAUAAAAGUGGGAGAAAAAGUGUACUGGAACCUGUUAAAAUGUGCAAAAGCUGCUCAUUGGGAAAACAGACCUUUGGCUUCCCUUAGCAACAGCACGGGAUUAUGGAUUCGGAAAGGCAGUAAUUGUCAAGUGUAAGAUAC
Molecule: long non-coding RNA, 323 nt
Organism: Corvus hawaiiensis (hawaiian crow)
Lineage: Eukaryota; Metazoa; Chordata; Aves; Passeriformes; Corvidae
Exons: 3
Source: RefSeq, a predicted model, not a curated record